RNAcentral lists this ribosomal RNA (512 nucleotides) under uncultured bacterium. RNAcentral describes it as "partial 16S ribosomal RNA". It matches the Rfam family "Bacterial small subunit ribosomal RNA", at positions 28 to 523 of the family's 1533-position model. The record is from RNAcentral.
GAUGAACGCUGGCGGCAUGCCUAAUACAUGCAAGUCGAACGAGAGGAAGGAAAGCUUGCUUUUCUGAAUCUAGUGGCGAACGGGUGAGUAACACGUAGGUAACCUGCCCAUGUGCCCGGGAUAACUUCUGGAAACGGAUGCUAAAACCGGAUAGGUAGCAGACAAGCAUUGGACUGCUAUUAAAGUGGCUAAGGCCAUGAACAUGGAUGGACCUGCGGUGCAUUAACUAGUUGGUGAGGUAACGGCCCACCAAGGCGCCUGUGAAUAGCCGGCAUGAGAGGGCGGACGGCCACAUUGGGACUGAGACACGGCCCACACUCCUACGGGAGGCAGCAGUAGGGAAUUUUCGUCAAUGGAGGGAACCCUGAACGAGCAAUGCCGCGUGAGUGAGGAAGGUCUUCGGAUCGUAAAGCUCUGUUGUAAGAGAAAAACGACAUUCAUAGGGAAUGAUGAGUGAGUGAUGGUAUCUUACCAGAAAGUCACGGCUAACUACGUGCCAGCAGCCGCAGUAA